AUAGAUGGGGAGAAAUUAAUUCUAGGAAACCUUUUAACAUUGUAGAAAGUCAGUAGCUCUAGCUGUACCAAAGAGCUCUUUGAAAGAGUUCCAAAUCUAAAGAAGUUAGAAAUUUCGACUGAAGAUGGAAAUCUAAUCAAAUCAAAAAAUUUGAUUGAAUAUUAGGAAUUGACACAUUUUUCUCUAGGUAAUCUGGUUAAUCUUCCUCAACUUGAGACCCUGAAAAUUAGAAGUAAAAAUGACCCUGUUAGUGUCCCUAUGAAUUUCACUUUCCCACAAAAUAUUGAAAAGAUAACUUUAGAGGGUUGUAGAAUCCCUUGGAAACAUAUGACAAUUCUUCGUCUUUUAACCAAUAAACUGCGAUAUAAUGCCUUUGAGGGGCCAGAAUGGGAGCCAACCGAAGGAGAAUUUUGCAAACUAAAAUUUCUGCUACUUCACGAAAUAGAACUAGUGCAAUGGAGAGCUAAAGACACUCACUUCCCAAGCC
This 487-nucleotide long non-coding RNA is filed under the name Olea europaea subsp. europaea. The record is from RNAcentral. Lineage: Eukaryota; Viridiplantae; Streptophyta; Magnoliopsida; Lamiales; Oleaceae.